Molecule: long non-coding RNA, 1311 nt
Organism: Spinacia oleracea (spinach)
Lineage: Eukaryota; Viridiplantae; Streptophyta; Magnoliopsida; Caryophyllales; Amaranthaceae
Exons: 7
Source: RefSeq, a predicted model, not a curated record
AAAGAUUCAGCAUGCCUUGGUGCAAGAGUGGCCUUCCCAGUUUCGAUCUCAAACACACAUCUCCCUUCUUAGUUUCUCUCUUCUCUUUGUUGGUUUCAACAACAGCUUCACCGGUGCUAACAAUGGUAGCCGGUCGUCAAAACAUGUUAUCUUGAGAGUAAUCAAACCCAACGAUUUUACACUGAUGUCUCAAACACGCAUUCAGAAUACCAGACUUUGAUUUCUCUCUCUUUCAAUCCCUAAUUUAUUUAAGUUCAAUUCCCAGAUCGGAUAUGCGAUUAAAAAAAUCAGAAAAGGAAAAAUCAAAUUGGGUAUUUGCCUGAAUCGUGGUUUAUAGAGCAUAAGUCAAAUUCUUUGGAAUCUUUGAUAAGUUUCGAUACUCUAUGUUUUGUUUUGCUGCUGAAGUUGCAGUAGAAGAGUGUUAGGGUGUAUAAAUGUACUUAGUUUUGAAAAUAGGACAACAACAAGGCAGUAGUAUUGGCAGCAAUAGCUGUAAUAGUGGGUUGUUUUCUAGCUAAGACUCUCAUGGAAUAUCUCUGAAGAAAAGCCUUGAUGUUACCCCUUUGAAAUCUCAAGCGAUGCAUUUUCGUCCCCUGUGCUAUCAUCAGUUAGAUGUCAGAGACGUUUGGGUUCCAUAAGCUUGUCAAAAACUUGAAUGAUUUGUUUAAUCUCUGUGGCUGCAUAAUAAUUUUGGGAUAUACUCAUUUUGGACUUAGAAAUAACCACAAAUAGAUGAUGCGGGAAAUGAAGUUAUGAGUUUAAUAGCCAAGCUCUUUGAGCAAGAAAAUAUUAUCGUUGCUUGAAGAACAAGAUGCAGACAUUAGAAUUCAAGCUGUGACAAUUGUUGCAAAUUUGGCUGCAAAAGAAACAAAUCAGGGGAAGAUUGUAGAGGCAGGUGGCCGGGAUUACUUCCUUGUGUUGAAUCAUCUUAGAAUCUCUGAGAAUGAGACCAUACAUCGAGUUGCUGUUGGCGUUAUUGCGAAAUAAGCAAUGAAUGGUUGCUGCACAUUAUGUUGCAAUGGCUCCUUCCGGACAGAUUUUUGAUAGGAUCAAGAUGAUGGAUUGGAUCGGAUCGGAUCGGAUAGCGAAUGAAGAUUAAAGUUGACAUCGAGAAUCAUGGAUUGGAUCGGAUAGCAAAUGAAGUUGAAAAGAUAGAAGACAUUUUGUUUUGGAUUAUACAUUUUAGUUUUGGAUAUGAUCAUCUGAUUUUUUUUUGAACAUAUAUAAUAAUGUAAUUUUCAUAGAUUGUACAUCAAAUACUAUUAUUUUAAUUUAUUAGGGAGCGGGUUGUGCUCCCUCCCUUUAGUUGUU